This is a long non-coding RNA of Parus major (Great Tit), 1524 nucleotides long. RefSeq lists it as uncharacterized. The transcript is spliced from 3 exons. The record is from RefSeq and is a predicted model, not a curated record. Lineage: Eukaryota; Metazoa; Chordata; Aves; Passeriformes; Paridae.
GACCUUCCCAGCAUGGCGCCGUCCCGCCGGGCCCCCUCGGCGCCGGCCGCCAUCUUGGGUGUGGCACGGCAGCCCUGCCCUCCCUCAGCCUCGGGAGAGCCUGGUCCUCCAAUAUUUCCCUCGAAGCUUUUCUUUUUCUCCUCACAGUUCUACAAGCUCGACCUGCCGGAUGAGGAGAAAAAAAAUGCCUGAGCAUGGAAAGACAAGCACAAGUCCAGUGGGAAAGAGUGGCAAACCAGGCAUCACUUUAGGAUUUUCUCAAACAUGGAAAUUAUUUAGUCUCAGCCGAAUAUAAAUUAAAAGGUUUGUAUUCUGGUCUUGCUCGUGUUUGUUCUCUGCCAGUGGAACCUAACUGAAACACUUUAGAUUACACUUUCAAAGAUUCCCUUUGCAGUGAGUUGGAAAGCUCUGAUGGGCAAACGUCCUCCGCGAGACUAGAAGGAGAUUCUUGUGGAAAACUCAAUCAAUCACCUUGUGAAAUUCUCAGCGAUCAGAAAUAAAGAAACCGUUUACCUGCAAACAGCCCCAGCUGAGAGGACGGGAGGAGUUGAACACUCUCCAGCUGGACGAGCCUCCCUAAAGGGCAAAGCAACGCAGGGAACAGCAGCGAGCGCUGCCCCAGCACUGGAGGUGGUGGAUGGAGACACGCACUAAGUUAAAAGUAAAGAGCCACAUUCUCAUCUUUCACUAACUCGGUUAUUGCAGCUUUAAGAGAGAGGUUUGGAAAGUUUUCCACUCCACGCUGUUCUUGCACACCCCUUCUAAAAUUAGAAAUGGGCAGCUGGCUCCUACAGCCAAGAGCCCCCAGACUCCCUCCCCCCUUUCUCUGAUUGACUCCCAAGGGCCAUGGAGGAAUUUGGGGAAGGGUGCUUCCACCUGUUGGAUGUGGAAUGAGAUUUUCCAGGCAUACAAUUAUAAAUCCAACUGUCAGGAGCUGACAAUAAAACAGGACACAGGACAGCUGUGAGGACUACAGGACACCCGCCUCCCUUCUCUCUACUCCUACGACUUUGCAGUCCAUCUGCCAGCAGAAACAAUGCAUGAAAAAUUGUUCUCUUAUAAAAUAAAGGCAUCGCUUCACAUUUCUUCCCACAGUUUUCUAACUGUACCACAAGGUCCUAACACAGAAUCUGGCAAGUUGUUCAUGUUUCAUUACACCCCUCCAAAACCAGAUUAUUUUUCCUAAAUACAGCAUGCUGGCAAUUGCACUGCAGAUGGUGCAUAUAGCUGUGUCCUGUACAGCAAAUAAUUUUAUGCCUGCAUUAACAUGGAGCUCUUACCUUACCUUUUGCACUCAGUUUGAGCUGGACUUCUCAUUCUAAACAAACACAAUUUUCAAAAACAAGGAUAUGAAAGCCACAAGUUUGUGGGUUUUUGUAAUUUUAUUUGCAGAAGGUAUGAUUUUGUUGAUGUGAAAAAAUUAAUUCCUAUUUCCAAACCUGCUUAGCAUGUUCCAAACUCAGCACAGCAUGACUCAGAGCAGGGUGUGAGAGACAAGGUAACAACAGCUGGGCAGUGCUUUGU